Molecule: ribosomal RNA, 726 nt
Filed under: Staphylococcus aureus
Lineage: Bacteria; Bacillati; Bacillota; Bacilli; Caryophanales; Staphylococcaceae
Description: bacterial SSU rRNA
Rfam family: Bacterial small subunit ribosomal RNA
Source: RNAcentral
UUUAUGGAGAGUUUGAUCCUGGCUCAGGAUGAACGCUGGCGGCGUGCCUAAUACAUGCAAGUCGAGCGAACGGACGAGAAGCUUGCUUCUCUGAUGUUAGCGGCGGACGGGUGAGUAACACGUGGAUAACCUACCUAUAAGACUGGGAUAACUUCGGGAAACCGGAGCUAAUACCGGAUAAUAUUUUGAACCGCAUGGUUCAAAAGUGAAAGACGGUCUUGCUGUCACUUAUAGAUGGAUCCGCGCUGCAUUAGCUAGUUGGUAAGGUAACGGCUUACCAAGGUAACGAUGCAUAGCCGACCUGAGAGGGUGAUCGGCCACACUGGAACUGAGACACGGUCCAGACUCCUACGGGAGGCAGCAGUAGGGAAUCUUCCGCAAUGGGCGAAAGCCUGACGGAGCAACGCCGCGUGAGUGAUGAAGGUCUUCGGAUCGUAAAACUCUGUUAUUAGGGAAGAACAUAUGUGUAAGUAACUGUGCACAUCUUGACGGUACCUAAUCAGAAAGCCACGGCUAACUACGUGCCAGCAGCCGCGGUAAUACGUAGGUGGCAAGCGUUAUCCGGAAUUAUUGGGCGUAAAGCGCGCGUAGGCGGUUUUUUAAGUUUGAUGUGAAAGCCCACGGCUCAACCGUGGAGGGUCAUUGGAAACUGGAAAACUUGAGUGCAGAAGAGGAAAGUGGAAUUCCAUGUGUAGCGGUGAAAUGCGCAGAGAUAUGGAGGAACAC